AUGUUGGAUGCCCCGGUAUAAACGGAUGCCUCAAAAUGUUUGAUGCCCCGAUAUAAACGGAUGCCUCAAAAUGUUGGAUGUCCCGGUAUAUAUAUGGAUGCCUCAAAUUGUUGGUCUGAUAUAAACGGUUACCUCGGAAUCCUGGUUGCAGCUUAGAAGGAAGUUGCCUCAACGAAGGUGAAACUUUUGGCUCAAAAUUUGGUCAGCAAUAAGGUUAAACUUUCUGUAGAAUGCUUGUCCCAUGACUUUCUGCAACCGUCUGACAAUUAGAUUGUGGGAAAAAAAGUUACAUGAUGAUAUUUUAUAACAGUGGGAAAAAAUGGUAAGAAAACUCCUAAAAAAAAUAUCACUUUCUUCAAAUGGGAAAAAAAAUUUCUUACCUCUUUGAAGUAGUGGAUGUUCUGUUACUGACCAUCAUUAUUGCUUUGGGAUGUAUUUUUUCUUAAAUUCUUGAAACUGCGCUUCUACGGACACGUAUGCUAUAAAUGUGGAGAUAUAGCUUGUUGGAUUAUGCUAUGACUCUCAUACCAUGUGUUUUUAAGAAUGACUCGGUUUACUUAUGUUUUGUAGACCAGUGUCUACUAAACGAAGCAUACAAAAUGAGUAAGAAUACAGGCUGCACCGAAAAUGUUUGUAGAACGAAUUGAAUGGGGAGUAGCUACAUUUUGUUUUUUCAAAUUUUAUGCUGUUAUGAAAUGAUGGACUGAAUGGAGAGGGUGAGCACUACAACGAGGGAAACGUCAAUUAAUGGUGCUAUGAAUGAUCCUUUUUUGUUUUCCCAAAAUUUGAAGGGGAUUGUCCCAAAACAAACUGGCCAUUGUUUGUUUUGUUACUCUAGGGACCAGCUCCGAGUAAAAACUAAAUUUGAUUUGAGAAGCGAUCUUGGUGUAGUAAAAGGAAUUAUAGCAGGCUCUUGCUUGAGAUGGUGACUUCCUGAUGGGAUAGUAUGUUUCUUUGUCAGUUAACAUAUAUGGAUGGGAUUAUAAACAGUUGGAAUUAAACUGGCAUAUUAAAGGUGACAAUACUCAUAUUUGGCUUGGUUACAGUUGAAUACGUCUCCUCAGGAAAGAAUGCAGCAUAAACUUGUGUUUAUUGAGACCCAAGAUGUGGUGGAGACUAUUCUGGCUCUCGACAAAUUACCGCAAGGCUUGCGAUUGUGGGAAAGGACAAAUAUCACUGUGCUUCGAGUGUAUUUACAGCAACCAUAAAAAAAAAACAUUGCAAAUGGGAAAGAUGAUGCAACUAAUGAGAAUAAGAGGCUGCCUUUCGACUUUGGACUAGCAAAUGCUGCUAAAUAUUACCACAAACUGCCAUGGUUCUACCAUAUCAUUUAUUCUCUCUUUAUGUAUCUUAUACCUCACUUAUGAAUCUGAAUUGUCAUUCGUUUUUUAGAUUUGAUUUUACCACCUCUGAUAUAGGAUUAUCAUAUGUGAUAACCACAAGUUUCACCAUUUUAUAGGUGGAAUUUGUUCCAAGGGUGAUUUUUGGUAAUUAGUACUAUUUGACAUUAUUUUAUAUCAGUCUGAUGCUCAUGCUAUAAUAACAAAAGAUAUGAUAUUUGUUAUUCGUUGAACUUUUAUAGUAACAAUUUUGUGUUUAACAAAAGAAAUUGGCAGGGAAAAUUUGAUUGGUAUUUUAUUCUUAAUCCUAAGCUGUUUCUGCUAGCUCAAUGUGAUUGAAUAGUAUAGUACAGACAUAAAUAUGUGAAUUUUAUUUCAUGUACAUUGAACUUUGCUUUAAGUGCAUUUACAGCCACCAUAAAAGAAAACAUUGCAGAUUGGAAAGAUGAUGCAACUAAUGAGGAUGUUAAGGGGCUGCCUAUGGACAAUUACAUACAAACUGUCUCAGGUUCUACCAUAUCAUUUAUUCUCUUUAUGUUUCUUGUGCAAAUCUGCCUUGUUCGAUAACAAUUUUGUUUUUAAUUUUCGGCUUUUAAAAGUUAUGCUUAUACCCUCACAAAUUUGUUAUGUUUUUCCUACGUAGCAAUUGAAGUCCUUUUAUCUCGCCCUUCUUGCUUUCAGGCAUCAUACCUCAUCAAUUCCUCUCUCUUAAGUUUGAGAGGUCUAUUAUAUGACUUUUUUUGGUUGAAGUCCAUCCUUCUUCACCUUUUAGGGCCAAGGGGUGGGAUGACAGUAGAAUUAGUGAUUUUUUCUAGUGAUUUUGAAAAAAAAAAUUAAGUGAUACUUUAAGAAUUAAUUU
This is a long non-coding RNA of Momordica charantia (bitter melon), 2199 nucleotides long. RefSeq lists it as uncharacterized. The record is from RefSeq and is a predicted model, not a curated record. Lineage: Eukaryota; Viridiplantae; Streptophyta; Magnoliopsida; Cucurbitales; Cucurbitaceae.